RNAcentral lists this unclassified non-coding RNA (2119 nucleotides) under Hevea brasiliensis (rubber tree). The record is from RNAcentral. Lineage: Eukaryota; Viridiplantae; Streptophyta; Magnoliopsida; Malpighiales; Euphorbiaceae.
CUAGAUAAAAACAGUAAAGGUAAGCGUAAAGCCACUGCAUCAAUUUCCAUUUCAAUUUUGAUGAUUCAUAUUCUGAACCGAGAACAAAACAAUUGUGUGUUUAACAGUUGAAUGUGAAGACAAAGCAAUGAGUCCAAAAGAAAUCAACAAUAUGAAAAUAACAGAGAUUUACGAUACAUGAAGUUGAGGUAGAUUGAAGAGUCCAUAUAUUUUAUAUCAAUGCUUGAAAUAUAGUAGCAGGAUGUUGUAACCGCAUGAAGAUGCUUUUGCUUAGAAUCCAUGAAUCUUGAUGUGUUCUUUCUUCACUAUGCCUGCCUGAACAAGGAAGGUGGAAACAUUUUUCCUUUGGUCACCUUGAAGCUGAAUAACCUGACCAAGCUCUGGAUCCUGGACAACAGUACCAUUGCAGCAAAACUCUUUCUUUAGGUCCUUCAGAAUCUUAUUAUAGCUGAAUUCCUUCUUUAAACCUUGGACAGUUGUCAGGCUUUUCCUACCAUUUCGCUGUUGUAUGCGUAUAUGCACAUAUUCCUUAGCUCCAGCACCUGAAUCCGCAGCAUUUGCCUCAGCGAAUGGAUCAAAGGUGGUAGGAAUAUGGACGUCGAGUUCAGACAUGAACCUUGAUUCUGAUCAAUUGAUGGGAAGGAAGUAACAAAUAUGUCCUUCGAUUGCAGAUACAAAAACUUGCAGCUGAUCUCGUUUCAAGAGAGAAGUGAGAAAGAAGAUAAGGAUUGGAGAAAAAUGGUGUUCAAAGGGUUUGGGCCUGUUCUGUUUUUAUAUCGGAGAGGAGUGCUCUUGACCACGAAUAAGUCCACCGCACCUCAAGCACUUCUGGAUUUUCGUAAAUCCAGCUCCCUCAAUUUACGUUUCCCUUUUUUAAACUACACAGACUACACAGAUACUCGGAUGGGGUUGGCAUGAAAAUUCAUCCAAAAAGAUCUUUCCUUUUUUCUGAUUUGGCAAUGUUUAUAUAUGGGUGGCACACAUAACAAGGGGAUGGUAAUAAGGAUGGCCUCACCUCACACCGUUUAACACUCCCGUGAAUGAUAUUGCAGGUGAAGCCAUGGGCAGCCCCAGGCAUUCACUUUCAGGAAACAACAUUUGCUUCAUGAACAAAAUGGGGAUUGAUAAUCACUAAAUUAACACAAUAAACCCCAAAUGAAUAAAACAGUAAUAUAUAAAUUUUUAUUUAAUAAUAGAUAAGAAAACAAACAUUUACUCGUCUUGGCCUUGAAGAGGCCAAUCACACAUCACAAUCUUAAAAGAAGAGAGAGCCAUUAGUCUCUCUCAGAAAUCACAAAUACAUAAUCUUUAGAAAGAUAGACCAUAGGAAUUCCAUUCCCCCACUCAGAAACCACCACGCAGGCGCAGGACAAGGUGAAGGGUCGAUUCUUUCUGGAUGUUAUAAUCAGCCAGAGUCCUUCCGUCCUCCAGCUGCUUACCAGCAAAGAUGAGCCUCUGCUGAUCCGGAGGAAUACCCUCCUUAUCCUGGAUCUUCGCCUUCACAUUAUCAAUAGUGUCGCUGCUCUCCACCUCCAAAGUGAUGGUCUUCCCAGUCAGGGUCUUAACGAAAAUCUGCAUCCCUCCACGCAGACGGAGCACGAGGUGAAGGGUAGAUUCCUUCUGAAUAUUAUAAUCGGCCAAAGUGCGACCGUCCUCGAGCUGUUUUCCAGCAAAGAUGAGCCUUUGCUGGUCUGGGGGAAUCCCUUCCUUAUCCUGAAUCUUAGCCUUAACGUUAUCAAUGGUGUCGCUGCUCUCGACCUCCAGAGUAAUAGUCUUUCCGGUCAAGGUUUUGACAAAGAUCUGCAUGCCACCGCGGAGACGAAGGACAAGGUGGAGGGUUGACUCCUUUUGGAUGUUGUAAUCGGCCAGGGUACGGCCAUCCUCAAGCUGCUUUCCGGCGAAGAUGAGACGCUGCUGGUCAGGAGGGAUUCCUUCUUUGUCCUGGAUUUUGGCUUUGACGUUAUCGAUGGUGUCGCUGCUCUCGACCUCGAGAGUUAUCGUCUUUCCGGUGAGGGUCUUAACGAAGAUCUGCAUCUUGAAGGGUUUUUUUAUGGACUGCAAAAGCCUGAUGAGAAAGAAAAGAGAACAACAAUGGUGGGUGGACUCCUUUUGGAUAUUA